Molecule: ribosomal RNA, 253 nt
Filed under: uncultured bacterium
Lineage: Bacteria
Description: partial 16S ribosomal RNA
Rfam family: Bacterial small subunit ribosomal RNA
Source: RNAcentral
UACGAAGGGGGCUAGCGUUGUUCGGAAUUACUGGGCGUAAAGCGUAUGUAGGCGGAUCGUUAAGUCGGGGGUGAAAUCCCGAGGCUCAACCUCGGAACUGCCUUCGAUACUGGCGAUCUUGAGUCCGGGAGAGGUGAGUGGAACUCCGAGUGUAGAGGUGAAAUUCGUAGAUAUUCGCAAGAACACCAGUGGCGAAGGCGGCUCACUGGCCCGAUACUGACGCUGAGGCACGAAAGCGUGGGGAGCAAACAGG